AUUGAACGCUGGCGGCAUGCUUUACACAUGCAAGUCGAACGGUAACAGGGUGCUUGCACCGCUGACGAGUGGCGAACGGGUGAGUAAUGCGUCGGAACGUGCCGAGUAGUGGGGGAUAACGCAGCGAAAGUUGUGCUAAUACCGCAUACGUACUGAGGUAGAAAGUGGGGGACCUUCGGGCCUCACGCUAUUCGAGCGGCCGACGUCUGAUUAGCUAGUAGGUGAGGUAAAGGCUCACCUAGGCGACGAUCAGUAGCGGGUCUGAGAGGAUGGGCCGCCAGACGGGGACUGAGAAACGGCCCAGACUCCUACGGGAGGCAGCAGUGGGGAAUUUUGGACAAUGGGCGAAAGCCUGAUCCAGCCAUGCCGCGUGUCUGAAGAAGGCCUUCGGGUUGUAAAGGACUUUUGUCAGGGAGGAAAUCCCUAGUGCUAAUAACACUGGGGGAUGACAGUACCUGAAGAAUAAGCACCGGCUAACUACGUGCCAGCCGCCGCCGUAA
This 500-nucleotide ribosomal RNA is filed under the name uncultured bacterium. Its description in RNAcentral is "partial 16S ribosomal RNA". It matches the Rfam family "Bacterial small subunit ribosomal RNA", at positions 30 to 523 of the family's 1533-position model. The record is from RNAcentral.